Molecule: ribosomal RNA, 159 nt
Filed under: Brachyspira canis
Lineage: Bacteria; Pseudomonadati; Spirochaetota; Spirochaetia; Brachyspirales; Brachyspiraceae
Description: partial 16S ribosomal RNA
Rfam family: Bacterial small subunit ribosomal RNA
Source: RNAcentral
ACUCUUGCUACACAAGUAGAGGAGAGGAAAGGAGUAAUCCGCUUUACGAUGAGCCUGCGGCCUAUUAGCCUGUUGGUGGGGUAACGGCCUACCAAAGCUACGAUAGGUAGCCGACCUGAGAGGGUGACCGGCCACAUUGGGACUGAGAUACGGCCCAGA